Molecule: small nuclear RNA, 304 nt
Filed under: Microcebus murinus (gray mouse lemur)
Lineage: Eukaryota; Metazoa; Chordata; Mammalia; Primates; Cheirogaleidae
Description: 7SK RNA (ENSMICG00000023283.3)
Rfam family: 7SK RNA
About the family: 7SK was discovered as an abundant small nuclear RNA in the mid-70s but a possible function has only recently been suggested. Two independent studies have found that 7SK RNA binds the CDK9/cyclin T complex (known as elongation factor P-TEFb). P-TEFb activates transcription by phosphorylating the C-terminal domain of RNA polymerase II.
Source: Rfam by way of RNAcentral
GGCUGUGAGGGUGAUCCAGCUGCGACAUCUAUCACCCCAUUGCUCGCCAGGGCUGAUUCGGCUGAUCUGGCUGGCUAGGCGGGUGUCCCUUUCCUUUCUCACUGCCCCCUGUGCAUCCCUCCCGAAGCUGCCCUCUUGGUCUAAGAGGACGACCUUCCCCAAUAGAGGAGGGCCGUUCUUAGGUCAACGGUAUACGAGUAACUGCAUAGCCCUGCUAGAACCUCCUAACAAGCUCUCGAGAGUUGCCUUGCUGGAGAAACUCAGCUGUUUUCCAGGACGCUGUGCUCGUGGCAGCUUGGCCCAG